UACGUAGGGGGCAAGCGUUGUCCGGAUUUAUUGGGCGUAAAGAGCGUGUAGGCGGCCGCACAGGUCCGUUGUGAAAACUGGAGGCUUAACCUUCAGACGUCGAUGGAAACCGUGCGGCUAGAGUCCGGAAGAGGAGAGUGGAAUUCCCGGUGUAGCGGUGAAAUGCGCAGAUAUCGGGAAGAACACCCGUGGCGAAGGCGGUUCUCUGGGACGGUACUGACGCUGAGACGCGAAAGCGUGGGGAGCAAACAGG
RNAcentral lists this ribosomal RNA (253 nucleotides) under uncultured bacterium. Its description in RNAcentral is "partial 16S ribosomal RNA". It matches the Rfam family "Bacterial small subunit ribosomal RNA", at positions 524 to 776 of the family's 1533-position model. The record is from RNAcentral.